Molecule: ribosomal RNA, 630 nt
Filed under: Bacillus subtilis
Lineage: Bacteria; Bacillati; Bacillota; Bacilli; Caryophanales; Bacillaceae
Description: bacterial SSU rRNA
Rfam family: Bacterial small subunit ribosomal RNA
Source: RNAcentral
GGGCGUAGAGGGCUCGCAGGCGGUUUCUUAAGUCUGAUGUGAAAGCCCCCGGCUCAACCGGGGAGGGUCAUUGGAAACUGGGGAACUUGAGUGCAGAAGAGGAGAGUGGAAUUCCACGUGUAGCGGUGAAAUGCGUAGAGAUGUGGAGGAACACCAGUGGCGAAGGCGACUCUCUGGUCUGUAACUGACGCUGAGGAGCGAAAGCGUGGGGAGCGAACAGGAUUAGAUACCCUGGUAGUCCACGCCGUAAACGAUGAGUGCUAAGUGUUAGGGGGUUUCCGCCCCUUAGUGCUGCAGCUAACGCAUUAAGCACUCCGCCUGGGGAGUACGGUCGCAAGACUGAAACUCAAAGGAAUUGACGGGGGCCCGCACAAGCGGUGGAGCAUGUGGUUUAAUUCGAAGCAACGCGAAGAACCUUACCAGGUCUUGACAUCCUCUGACAAUCCUAGAGAUAGGACGUCCCCUUCGGGGGCAGAGUGACAGGUGGUGCAUGGUUGUCGUCAGCUCGUGUCGUGAGAUGUUGGGUUAAGUCCCGCAACGAGCGCAACCCUUGAUCUUAGUUGCCAGCAUUCAGUUGGGCACUCUAAGGUGACUGCCGGUGACAAACCGGAGGAAGGUGGGGAUGACGUC